GGGUCAGUAGGUUGGUCGUGCCACCGGUACGUACUGGUCUCACUGAUUCCUCCUUCCUGAAGAACCGUAAUGCCAUUAAUUAGGUGUUGCGGGGAAACAGGACUGUUACUUUGAAAAAAUUAGAGUGUUUAAAGCAAGCUAACGCUUGAAUACAUUAGCAUGGGAUAAUGAAAUAGGACGAUCGAUCCUAUUUUGUUGGUUUCUAGGAUUGACGUA
RNAcentral lists this ribosomal RNA (216 nucleotides) under Glomeromycotina sp. RNAcentral describes it as "partial small subunit ribosomal RNA". The stretch from base 40 to 216 matches the Rfam family "Eukaryotic small subunit ribosomal RNA", at positions 686 to 864 of the family's 1831-position model. The record is from RNAcentral. Lineage: Eukaryota; Fungi; Glomeromycota.